AGCGGCCCUAGCAAGAGGCACAGGCUCGAGGGACCAACCUUACCUCACAUCCUGGCUUGCCCUGCUGGGGAAAGGUGGGGUCCGCUGGCCAGACCCUGACAACCUUCCCGAGCCCCGGAGGUUUCAGCCCUACCACGACUCGCUUUUAUUAGGGUGAAGGAAGCCUAGACGAGCCUGGUCCAAGGACCUCCCUGCUUUCUGGCGGCCUGUUCAGCCAAAGACAGUCGACAAAUAACAGGAUUCCACUGCUUCAGGCUUGAACAAACGGGGGAGACUCUCCUCAUAACCCAGUCUACAAGUGGCUCCACCCCAGGCCUACAGCAUGCAGUCCCAGGAGAGUGGCGUUCACUACAGCAGGUGGGACAGCAGCAGCCGGGAUGAAGUCAGCAUGUCCGCCAUGUCCAGCUCAGAGGAGGCCUCAUGCUAUAAGAGGAUCUCCCAGAAGCUGUGCUCUGGCAAGCUGGGGAUAGCCAUGAAGGUGCUGGGUGGAGUGGCCCUCUUCUGGAUCAUCUUCAUC
This 517-nucleotide long non-coding RNA is filed under the name Rattus norvegicus (Norway rat). RNAcentral's name for it is "long non-coding RNA NONRATT023922". Lineage: Eukaryota; Metazoa; Chordata; Mammalia; Rodentia; Muridae. The record is from RNAcentral.